RNAcentral lists this long non-coding RNA (201 nucleotides) under Elaeis guineensis (African oil palm). RNAcentral's name for it is "long non-coding RNA (EGUI_LNC037664)". Lineage: Eukaryota; Viridiplantae; Streptophyta; Magnoliopsida; Arecales; Arecaceae. The record is from RNAcentral.
CAGUUGAGAAGGUGAAGCUAAUUUUAGAUAUUUUUAGCGGCUAAAGAAAUCAUGUAUAAGCUUGGACCUUAAUUUAAUAUGCUCAACUAACUCCAAAAUCAAUUAAAUCAAAGAUGUUAGAGGGUGUUUAGGUGGAGGGAGUUGGAAUCUAGAAUCGAAAUGGGAAUAGAUGACUUCCAUUCCAAUCAUUUGGUUCGAAGG